RNAcentral lists this transfer RNA (72 nucleotides) under Flagellostomias boureei (longbarb dragonfish). Its description in RNAcentral is "tRNA-Val". It matches the Rfam family "tRNA". From Rfam's summary of the family: Transfer RNA (tRNA) molecules are approximately 80 nucleotides in length. The record is from RNAcentral. RNAcentral also lists the same sequence under 3 other names. Lineage: Eukaryota; Metazoa; Chordata; Actinopteri; Stomiiformes; Stomiidae.
CAGGACGUAGCUAAGAUAGUAAAGCAUUUCCCUUACACCGAAAAGACACCCGUGCAACUCGGGUCGCCCUGA